RNAcentral lists this small RNA (940 nucleotides) under Spiroplasma helicoides. Its description in RNAcentral is "bacterial LSU rRNA". The stretch from base 445 to 940 matches the Rfam family "Bacterial large subunit ribosomal RNA", at positions 1 to 497 of the family's 2925-position model. Lineage: Bacteria; Bacillati; Mycoplasmatota; Mollicutes; Entomoplasmatales; Spiroplasmataceae. The record is from RNAcentral.
CGCCCGUCACACCAUGAGAGUUGGUAAUACCAGAAGCACGUAUCUUAACCGUAAGGAGAGAGCGUACCAAGGUAGGAUUAGCGAUUAGGGUGAAGUCGUAACGAGGUAUCCGUACGGGAACGUGCGGAUGGAUCACCUCCUUUCUAUGGAGUUAAUCAUAGUAAAUUAGUUUAUAUAAGCUGAGCGAAUCGAUAAAACAGCUUAUGACUAAAUCUGGUUCUAUCUAGUUUUCAGAGAUUGUUUAGCAUUUAUUUAUAAAUGCUCAUUCUCUGAAAAAAAAUUGUUCUUUGAAAACUGAAUAUUAGAUGAAAAUAGACAUUUUAUUUUUCUUACGUUUCAUAUUAAAAAAAACGUAUAUAGUAACUUUAAAAUUAAAUUACUAAGAAAAACUGAAAUUUCAUAUUUAUUAGAUUAUCUAUAAUGCAAAAUAGGAUUUCUUUAUAUAGAAAGUAUAGUAAGGGCAUAUGGUGAAUGCCUUGGAAAAUGGAGCCGAUGAAGGACGUGACUACCUGCGAAAAGUUUCGGGGAGCUGGAAGUAAGCUUUGAUCCGGAAAUGUCCGAAUGGGGAAACCCACUAUGAUUAAUCUCAUAGUAUCCAUAACUGAAUACAUAGGUUAUGUGAUGGGAACCUAGGGAACUGAAACAUCUUAGUACCUAGAGGAAAAGAAAACGAAUGUGAUUCUGUAAGUAGCGGCGAGCGAAAGCGGAACAGGCCAAACCGGUCUACGGGCCGGGGUUGUAGGACUCUUGUUAGAGUUACAAAAUUAGUGUAUAGCAGAAACUGUUGGGAAGCAGUGGCGUAGAGGGUGAUACCCCCGUAUGCGAAAUGCACUAAUCUCGAGAGAGUAUCCUGAGUACGGCGGGGCACGUGAAACCCUGUCGGAAUCUACCCAGACCACUGGGUAAGCCUAAAUACUACCAUUUUACCGAUAGUGAACCA